CCAGACAGCCAGGAUGUUGGCUUAGAAGCAGCCAUCAUUUAAAGAAAGCGUAAUAGCUCACUGGUCGAGUCGGCCUGCGCGGAAGAUGUAACGGGGCUAAACCAUGCACCGAAGCUGCGGCAGCGACACUGUGUGUUGUUGGGUAGGGGAGCGUUCUGUAAGCCUGCGAAGGUGGCCUGUGAGGGUUGCUGGAGGUAUCAGAAGUGCGAAUGCUGACAUAAGUAACGAUAAAGCGGGUGAAAAGCCCGCUCGCCGGAAGACCAAGGGUUCCUGUCCAACGUUAAUCGGGGCAGGGUGAGUCGACCCCUAAGGC
Molecule: ribosomal RNA, 313 nt
Filed under: Salmonella enterica subsp. enterica serovar Infantis
Lineage: Bacteria; Pseudomonadati; Pseudomonadota; Gammaproteobacteria; Enterobacterales; Enterobacteriaceae
Also listed under: 2 other names
Description: partial 23S ribosomal RNA
Rfam family: Bacterial large subunit ribosomal RNA
Source: RNAcentral